AUGGCCAUGCUCAUGGCAUGUGCACGAUGCUCCUCUCCUGACUCCUCUGCACUACGUCCGGAAGAACGAUGCGACCUCCGGCAACGCGACGAGCGCGCCGCGCUGGCAAAGCGGCAUGCCGUCGACGUCAAGAGGUUGACGAACGCGCGCGCGCGCAAAGCUGGCCGGGUGCGCGGGCGGUUGGCAUGGUUGCCCUUGCCCGAUCAAUCGUCGUCGCCUCCGUCCUGGCAAAGCUUGCUUUGA
RNAcentral lists this ribosomal RNA (243 nucleotides) under Triticum aestivum (bread wheat). RNAcentral describes it as "partial small subunit ribosomal RNA". The record is from RNAcentral. Lineage: Eukaryota; Viridiplantae; Streptophyta; Magnoliopsida; Poales; Poaceae.